RNAcentral lists this unclassified non-coding RNA (245 nucleotides) under uncultured Streptococcus sp. RNAcentral's name for it is "partial ribonuclease P RNA". It matches the Rfam family "Bacterial RNase P class B", at positions 1 to 245 of the family's 365-position model. Rfam says of the family: Ribonuclease P (RNase P) is a ubiquitous endoribonuclease, found in archaea, bacteria and eukarya as well as chloroplasts and mitochondria. Its best characterised activity is the generation of mature 5'-ends of tRNAs by cleaving the 5'-leader elements of precursor-tRNAs. The record is from RNAcentral. Lineage: Bacteria; Bacillati; Bacillota; Bacilli; Lactobacillales; Streptococcaceae.
GUGCAAUUUUUGGAUAAUCGACCUUAGUUUAUUUUAUGAGGAAGUCCAUGCUAGCACAGGCUGUGAUGCCUGUAGUGUUUGUGCUAGGCGAAUCCAUAAGCCUAGGGACGAGAAAUCGUUACGGCAGUCGAAAUGGCUAAGUCUUCGGAUAGGUCAGAAUAGGCUUGAAAGUGCCACAGUGACGGAGUCUUUCUGGAAACAGAGAGAGUGGAACGCGGUAAACCCCUCAAGCUAGCAACCCAAAA